This 1499-nucleotide ribosomal RNA is filed under the name Acinetobacter sp. 75. RNAcentral describes it as "16S ribosomal RNA". It matches the Rfam family "Bacterial small subunit ribosomal RNA". The record is from RNAcentral. Lineage: Bacteria; Pseudomonadati; Pseudomonadota; Gammaproteobacteria; Moraxellales; Moraxellaceae.
UGGGUUUGAUCCUGGCUCAGAUUGAACGCUGGCGGCAGGCUUAACACAUGCAAGUCGAGCGGAGAGAGGUAGCUUGCUACUGAUCUUAGCGGCGGACGGGUGAGUAAUGCUUAGGAAUCUGCCUAUUAGUGGGGGACAACAUUUCGAAAGGAAUGCUAAUACCGCAUACGUCCUACGGGAGAAAGCAGGGGAUCUUCGGACCUUGCGCUAAUAGAUGAGCCUAAGUCGGAUUAGCUAGUUGGUGGGGUAAAGGCCUACCAAGGCGACGAUCUGUAGCGGGUCUGAGAGGAUGAUCCGCCACACUGGGACUGAGACACGGCCCAGACUCCUACGGGAGGCAGCAGUGGGGAAUAUUGGACAAUGGGCGCAAGCCUGAUCCAGCCAUGCCGCGUGUGUGAAGAAGGCCUUAUGGUUGUAAAGCACUUUAAGCGAGGAGGAGGCUACUUUAGUUAAUACCUAGAGAUAGUGGACGUUACUCGCAGAAUAAGCACCGGCUAACUCUGUGCCAGCAGCCGCGGUAAUACAGAGGGUGCAAGCGUUAAUCGGAUUUACUGGGCGUAAAGCGCGCGUAGGCGGCUAAUUAAGUCAAAUGUGAAAUCCCCGAGCUUAACUUGGGAAUUGCAUUCGAUACUGGUUAGCUAGAGUGUGGGAGAGGAUGGUAGAAUUCCAGGUGUAGCGGUGAAAUGCGUAGAGAUCUGGAGGAAUACCGAUGGCGAAGGCAGCCAUCUGGCCUAACACUGACGCUGAGGUGCGAAAGCAUGGGGAGCAAACAGGAUUAGAUACCCUGGUAGUCCAUGCCGUAAACGAUGUCUACUAGCCGUUGGGGCCUUUGAGGCUUUAGUGGCGCAGCUAACGCGAUAAGUAGACCGCCUGGGGAGUACGGUCGCAAGACUAAAACUCAAAUGAAUUGACGGGGGCCCGCACAAGCGGUGGAGCAUGUGGUUUAAUUCGAUGCAACGCGAAGAACCUUACCUGGCCUUGACAUAGUAAGAACUUUCCAGAGAUGGAUUGGUGCCUUCGGGAACUUACAUACAGGUGCUGCAUGGCUGUCGUCAGCUCGUGUCGUGAGAUGUUGGGUUAAGUCCCGCAACGAGCGCAACCCUUUUCCUUAUUUGCCAGCGAGUAAUGUCGGGAACUUUAAGGAUACUGCCAGUGACAAACUGGAGGAAGGCGGGGACGACGUCAAGUCAUCAUGGCCCUUACGGCCAGGGCUACACACGUGCUACAAUGGUCGGUACAAAGGGUUGCUACCUAGCGAUAGGAUGCUAAUCUCAAAAAGCCGAUCGUAGUCCGGAUUGGAGUCUGCAACUCGACUCCAUGAAGUCGGAAUCGCUAGUAAUCGCGGAUCAGAAUGCCGCGGUGAAUACGUUCCCGGGCCUUGUACUCACCGCCCGUCACACCAUGGGAGUUUGUUGCACCAGAAGUAGCUAGCCUAACUGCAAAGAGGGCGGUUACCACGGUGUGGCCGAUGACUGGGGUGAAGUCGUAACAAGGUAGCC